This 253-nucleotide ribosomal RNA is filed under the name uncultured bacterium. Its description in RNAcentral is "partial 16S ribosomal RNA". It matches the Rfam family "Bacterial small subunit ribosomal RNA", at positions 524 to 776 of the family's 1533-position model. The record is from RNAcentral.
UACGAAGGGGGCUAGCGUUGUCCGGAAUUACUGGGCGUAAAGCGCACGUAGGCGGGUCGUUAAGUCAGGGGUGAAAUCCCAGAGCUCAACUCUGGAACUGCCUUUGAUACUGGCGACCUAGAGUCCGGAAGAGGUUAGUGGAAUUCCCAGUGUAGAGGUGAAAUUCGUAGAUAUUGGGAAGAACACCAGUGGCGAAGGCGGCUAACUGGUCCGGUACUGACGCUGAGACGCGAAAGCGUGGGGAGCGAACAGG